RNAcentral lists this transfer RNA (71 nucleotides) under Acinetobacter baumannii. RNAcentral describes it as "tRNA-Val". The stretch from base 4 to 65 matches the Rfam family "tRNA", at positions 6 to 65 of the family's 71-position model. Rfam says of the family: Transfer RNA (tRNA) molecules are approximately 80 nucleotides in length. Their secondary structure includes four short double-helical elements and three loops (D, anti-codon, and T loops). Further hydrogen bonds mediate the characteristic L-shaped molecular structure. tRNAs have two regions of fundamental functional importance: the anti-codon, which is responsible for specific mRNA codon recognition, and the 3' end, to which the tRNAs corresponding amino acid is attached (by aminoacyl-tRNA synthetases). tRNAs cope with the degeneracy of the genetic code in two manners: having more than one tRNA (with a specific anti-codon) for a particular amino acid; and 'wobble' base-pairing, i.e. permitting non-standard base-pairing at the 3rd anti-codon position. The record is from RNAcentral. Lineage: Bacteria; Pseudomonadati; Pseudomonadota; Gammaproteobacteria; Moraxellales; Moraxellaceae.
GCGCUUAGCUCAGUUGGUAGAGCGUCUGCCUUACAAGCAGAAUGUCGGCGGUUCGAUCCCGUCAGUUGGUA